UCUGGUGACAAUGGCAAAGAGGUCACACCUGUUCCCAUGCCGAACACAGAAGUUAAGCUCUUUAGCGCCGAUGGUAGUCGGA
Molecule: ribosomal RNA, 82 nt
Filed under: Staphylococcus xylosus
Lineage: Bacteria; Bacillati; Bacillota; Bacilli; Caryophanales; Staphylococcaceae
Also listed under: 3 other names
Source: RNAcentral